This is a non-coding RNA of Musa acuminata subsp. malaccensis (wild Malaysian banana), 1330 nucleotides long. Lineage: Eukaryota; Viridiplantae; Streptophyta; Magnoliopsida; Zingiberales; Musaceae. The record is from RefSeq and is a predicted model, not a curated record.
AUAUAUAGGAAAAAGAGCACCUUUACUUCCGCUGCGGCGGCCUUCCCUCCUGGAGACCACCCUUGCCUCCCCGGGAUGGCCACGAAGGCCGAUAGAAGGAGGCGGCGGAGCAACCGGCGGGCAGUGAGGAGAAGGGCCGGAGGAAUAAGGCGAGGAAGAAUAUGGUGGAGUAUCGCUGAGAAUCGGAGGGUGGGGAGGGACGUCGCAGCGACGACGGCGGAUGGAAUGGGAGAGGCGGGAGGCGGGAAAAACGGGGUGCAUUUACCUGUUCUACUAGUCCGCGAGCUCGACGCAGAGGAAGAUCAAGCUGCAGCAUGAUGAGAUAGUCAAGCCGAACAAAGCUAAGACAUUGACGAUAGCUCAGGUUUUCUUGCUUCCCCCCUCGAACUUUUACCUUUCUCUUUCGUGUUUCUCAUAGAAAUUUUAGUGAAGAGCAUGAAUUAGUUUGCUUGAGGUCGUCAAUCCAUGUUACAAUUGGAGGAGAAGAGAAUAAAGGCCACAAAUUUAUAGGAUAUGAUAUUUUGCUGUCGUGUAAGAAAAAAAUUGGAGAUGUUGUUGAUGCCAUGCUGCUGGAGAUUUUCUACCACUCUGAUGUUGAUUGAUUCCAUCCGGUUGUCGGUUCAUUCACAGAACAUCUUAAUCUCAAGUUCUUUUUUUUCUGUGGAAUCCAGGAAUUUUCUUCUUUACUAAUUGUUGCAACACAACGCUCAUUCAACCACGGCAACAACAACAACAACAACAACAAAGCUAUAAAGUCCCAACACAACACCUAACCAUAGGAAGUUGUAAGAUUGGGUUGGUCAGUUCAUCAACUGUCUGGUCGAGGCAAGAAAUGAAUUGCGGCACAAGUAUGUCGUCACUUUACAGGUCUGAGAUUGUUCAAAGGAGUUUUAAAAUAAAGAAGGCAUUACUAUACAAAGUCGACAGAUCUUCUUUUGAUUGUCUUUGCCAACAGUUAUACAAGAAAUUUUUGGUUGACCACAAGCAGCUAGUAUUUUUCUUCUGCACGUCCAGUAGGAUGGAUCUUUGUGUGCCUGCAGAUCUUCAAACUAUGGACCGUACACAGGAUAUGAGAGUAAGAUGCAACUGUUCAUAAUCUACUUCAAGACCAACUCAACCUCUCACCUGCUUAUGUAAAUAUACGGACACAUCCUUCUUCAGUCACGUUCUACCAUAAUGAUCAUGCGAUUCUAAAGUCCAUCUGACAUGCUUCUGUAGAUGCUUUGAGGUUAGCCCAAGCAUGGAGCAGAAGGCUGAACCAGAUGAGUCUGCAGAACUCCCUGAUAUCUCAUUCGAGGAGUUAUUAGCUGACGAAAAGAAGGAUUUGUUU